This 750-nucleotide long non-coding RNA is filed under the name Cottoperca gobio. Its description in RNAcentral is "lncRNA (ENSCGOG00000013789.1)". Lineage: Eukaryota; Metazoa; Chordata; Actinopteri; Perciformes; Bovichtidae. The record is from RNAcentral.
GUUAGAUGUGAGGAACUCUAAAGAGACGGGUGUCAGUUGUCAGUGAUGUAUCGGUGUGAAAGGAUGAAGCUCCUACUGUGCAGUCUGUUACUCGCCUCUCUCCACACCCGCUCUUCUUGGAGUGUUUCAUCUGGUACAGUUGAUGUUACCCAGACUCCUGAUGUCUCCGUCAUGGAGGGGGAGACAGUAAACAUCUCCUGCUGCUGGCCAACGCACUUUGAAAGAGUUAGAGUUACCUGGAAGAAAAAUCAAACACUGAAGACUGAACAUUUUAAUAACUCUCAAAGGUCUCAGCAAAAGGAAAUAUCUAACUGCUCACACUUGACCUUCACUAAUGUCACAAGAGGGGAUUCAGGGAGAUACAUCUGCUGCGUAACAAUGGAGAUACCAUUUUUAAAUAAAGGUAAAGGAGAUGGGACUUUCAUCACAGUCAGAGACAACACAACGGACCACACAACAGAAGGUGAACAUCCAGAAUCUUCCAGCAGUCAUCUGCAGUUCACCGUGAUAAUCCCUCUGGCUGUGGUGGCCCUCUUACUCCUCAUCACUCUUGUGGGUUUCUGCUGUCUGCGAAGGAGACAUGCACAAGCAGCCCGGGUGAUCUACGAGGUUCCCCACAUUGACUCUGAGGAGGUAGAAAUGGACAAACACAGCACCAGCUCCUCCAGAGGUUCAUCUCAGUGGUGUCAGGUACCAGUAUAUGAAUCCUUCGAUUACUUUGAACGUGUCGAGAACAAAGAAAGUGGAUGA